AUUUCCCCAUCCCAGUCCCUGUUUUGGGGGUGUUGUGUCCCAUUUCCCCCAUCCCAGUCCCUGUGUUUGGGGUGUUUUGGGGUGUUUUUGGGUGUUGUGUCCCAUUUCCCCGACCCCAAUCUCUGUUUUUGGGGUGUUUUGGGUGUUGUGUCCCGUUUCCCCAUCCCAGUCCCUGUUUUUGGGGUGUUUUGGGGUGUUGUGUCCCGUUUCCCCAUCCCAGUCCCUGUGUUUGGGGUGUUUUGGGGUGUUUUUGGGG
This 256-nucleotide long non-coding RNA is filed under the name Zonotrichia albicollis (white-throated sparrow). Its description in RNAcentral is "lncRNA (ENSZALG00000001100.1)". The record is from RNAcentral. Lineage: Eukaryota; Metazoa; Chordata; Aves; Passeriformes; Passerellidae.